ACCUUUCCUGGAAUAGAAAGUGAAAACACUAACGUGAAAAAUCAUGCAAGUCGGACCGUAAAAUGACAUGGGUGGAUGUUUGCACCAGUGGCAUUUGAAUGCUUGGAGAGGAACUGGCACAACUCCGGUUCCCUUCACGAGAACCGUUCACCGCUCGAGCCCAGCUGGUAAACGUAAAGUACGGGUCGCUGAUCGCAGGCGAUGCCGUUGCAUUCGAAUGGCUUUGGGUCGGAUUUAUUGAAUAGUUUUAUUUAACAAAUACAACCUAGGAAGUAGCCACCUGCUUAUGUUUAUUGCAGAAAAAGAAACCAAAGGCUGCAUUCAGCAGGAAAAGGACUUCGGAGGAAGCAGCCACCUCGAACGGGGCAUCUCCAGCCCUCCUGGGCGUACCCUGCGGUACCCGGGACCGGUGGGGGGGUCCAGGGAGCAACGUGGGGCUCAGGCAGCCAAGACACGGGCUCUGAUCUCCACGCUGGGUUGAAGUCCCUGAAUUAAAAUUGCUUGUAAACACACAAUCAUCAGGAGGCAGAACGUGCUCGCACCUCCGAGGUGAAGAAUUAUUGUGCUCGUGUAUAUUGGAUCUGCUACGACUUUAUUACAAGACGUUUACCAGCGAACCUGAAUUCUGGUCACUCAGUGUAUCUAUCAUACAAUACUCUGUUCUUCUCGUCCUCUUCGUUCCAGCAGGAGCAAGGUCUAGGUGCAGCGAGCCAGUAAUUAGAGUGAGAAGGAAAACAAAGCUUUUAAGGAGAUGCUCGAUGCUUUGCAGGAUGAAAACCAGUUUGCAGAGAGGCUGCGCUGAUCCAUCUGCACGGAGCUUGUUGCAGGGUUGCGACCCUCGUCACAGAAAGGAACAG
Long non-coding RNA from Grus americana (Whooping crane), 857 nucleotides. RefSeq lists it as uncharacterized. NCBI's taxonomy places the organism in Eukaryota, Metazoa, Chordata, Aves, Gruiformes, Gruidae. The transcript has 3 exons. The record is from RefSeq and is a predicted model, not a curated record.